This 1575-nucleotide ribosomal RNA is filed under the name Escherichia coli. RNAcentral's name for it is "partial 23S ribosomal RNA". It matches the Rfam family "Bacterial large subunit ribosomal RNA", at positions 1361 to 2915 of the family's 2925-position model. The record is from RNAcentral. Lineage: Bacteria; Pseudomonadati; Pseudomonadota; Gammaproteobacteria; Enterobacterales; Enterobacteriaceae.
AACGUUAAUCGGGGCAGGGUGAGUCGACCCCUAAGGCGAGGCCGAAAGGCGUAGUCGAUGGGAAACAGGUUAAUAUUCCUGUACUUGGUGUUACUGCGAAGGGGGGACGGAGAAGGCUAUGUUGGCCGGGCGACGGUUGUCCCGGUUUAAGCGUGUAGGCUGGUUUUCCAGGCAAAUCCGGAAAAUCAAGGCUGAGGCGUGAUGACGAGGCACUACGGUGCUGAAGCAACAAAUGCCCUGCUUCCAGGAAAAGCCUCUAAGCAUCAGGUAACAUCAAAUCGUACCCCAAACCGACACAGGUGGUCAGGUAGAGAAUACCAAGGCGCUUGAGAGAACUCGGGUGAAGGAACUAGGCAAAAUGGUGCCGUAACUUCGGGAGAAGGCACGCUGAUAUGUAGGUGAAGCGACUUGCUCGUGGAGCUGAAAUCAGUCGAAGAUACCAGCUGGCUGCAACUGUUUAUUAAAAACACAGCACUGUGCAAACACGAAAGUGGACGUAUACGGUGUGACGCCUGCCCGGUGCCGGAAGGUUAAUUGAUGGGGUUAGCGCAAGCGAAGCUCUUGAUCGAAGCCCCGGUAAACGGCGGCCGUAACUAUAACGGUCCUAAGGUAGCGAAAUUCCUUGUCGGGUAAGUUCCGACCUGCACGAAUGGCGUAAUGAUGGCCAGGCUGUCUCCACCCGAGACUCAGUGAAAUUGAACUCGCUGUGAAGAUGCAGUGUACCCGCGGCAAGACGGAAAGACCCCGUGAACCUUUACUAUAGCUUGACACUGAACAUUGAGCCUUGAUGUGUAGGAUAGGUGGGAGGCUUUGAAGUGUGGACGCCAGUCUGCAUGGAGCCGACCUUGAAAUACCACCCUUUAAUGUUUGAUGUUCUAACGUGGACCCGUGAUCCGGGUUGCGGACAGUGUCUGGUGGGUAGUUUGACUGGGGCGGUCUCCUCCUAAAGAGUAACGGAGGAGCACGAAGGUUGGCUAAUCCUGGUCGGACAUCAGGAGGUUAGUGCAAUGGCAUAAGCCAGCUUGACUGCGAGCGUGACGGCGCGAGCAGGUGCGAAAGCAGGUCAUAGUGAUCCGGUGGUUCUGAAUGGAAGGGCCAUCGCUCAACGGAUAAAAGGUACUCCGGGGAUAACAGGCUGAUACCGCCCAAGAGUUCAUAUCGACGGCGGUGUUUGGCACCUCGAUGUCGGCUCAUCACAUCCUGGGGCUGAAGUAGGUCCCAAGGGUAUGGCUGUUCGCCAUUUAAAGUGGUACGCGAGCUGGGUUUAGAACGUCGUGAGACAGUUCGGUCCCUAUCUGCCGUGGGCGCUGGAGAACUGAGGGGGGCUGCUCCUAGUACGAGAGGACCGGAGUGGACGCAUCACUGGUGUUCGGGUUGUCAUGCCAAUGGCACUGCCCGGUAGCUAAAUGCGGAAGAGAUAAGUGCUGAAAGCAUCUAAGCACGAAACUUGCCCCGAGAUGAGUUCUCCCUGACCCUUUAAGGGUCCUGAAGGAACGUUGAAGACGACGACGUUGAUAGGCCGGGUGUGUAAGCGCAGCGAUGCGUUGAGCUAACCGGUACUAAUGAACCGUGAGG